Molecule: ribosomal RNA, 446 nt
Filed under: uncultured bacterium
Lineage: Bacteria
Description: partial 16S ribosomal RNA
Rfam family: Bacterial small subunit ribosomal RNA
Source: RNAcentral
CCUACGGGGGGCUGCAGUCGAGAAUCAUUCACAAUGGGGGAAACCCUGAUGGGGCGACGCCGCGUGGGGGAAUGAAGGUCUGCGGAUUGUAAACCCCUGUCAUGUGGGAGCAAAUUAAAAAGAUAGUACCACAAGAGGAAGAGACGGCUAACUCUGUGCCAGCAGCCGCGGUAAUACAGAGGUCUCAAGCGUUGUUCGGAAUCACUGGGCGUAAAGCGUGCGUAGACUGUUUCGUAAGUCGUGUGUGAAAGGCGCGGGCUCAACCCGCGGACGGCACAUGAUACUGCGAGACUAGAGUAAUGGAGGGGGAACCGGAAUUCUCGGUGUAGCAGUGAAAUGCGUAGAUAUCGAGAGGAACACUCGUGGCGAAGGCGGGUUCCUGGACAUUAACUGACGCUGAGGCACGAAGGCCAGGGGAGCGAAAAGGAUUAGAUACCCUGGUAGUC